This 277-nucleotide ribosomal RNA is filed under the name uncultured bacterium. Its description in RNAcentral is "partial 16S ribosomal RNA". It matches the Rfam family "Bacterial small subunit ribosomal RNA", at positions 28 to 298 of the family's 1533-position model. The record is from RNAcentral.
GACGAACGCUGACGGCGUGCUUUAGACAUGCAAGUCGAACGAGAAAGCCCUUCGGGGUGAGUAAAGUGGCGAACGGGUGCGUAACACGUGGGUAACCUGCCCCUCGCAGGGGGACAACCGGGGGAAACCCCGGCUAAUACCCCGUACGCUUGCCGGGCCGCAUGGCCUGGCAAGGAGAGGUAGCUUCGGCCAUCCGGCGAGGGAUGGGCCCGCGGCCCAUUAGCUAGUUGGUGGGGUAACGGCCUACCAAGGCUACGAUGGGUAGCUGGUCUGAGAG